Salmo salar (Atlantic salmon) is the source of this 54-nucleotide non-coding RNA. The record is from Rfam. Lineage: Eukaryota; Metazoa; Chordata; Actinopteri; Salmoniformes; Salmonidae.
UGCAGCCUCGUAUGUAAGUCGCUCUGGAUAAGAGCGUCUGCUAAAUGACGUAAG